RNAcentral lists this ribosomal RNA (897 nucleotides) under Pseudomonas aeruginosa. RNAcentral's name for it is "bacterial SSU rRNA". It matches the Rfam family "Bacterial small subunit ribosomal RNA", at positions 533 to 1428 of the family's 1533-position model. Lineage: Bacteria; Pseudomonadati; Pseudomonadota; Gammaproteobacteria; Pseudomonadales; Pseudomonadaceae. The record is from RNAcentral.
UGCAAGCGUUAAUCGGAAUUACUGGGCGUAAAGCGCAGGUAGGGGGGUGGAUUAAGUAAGAUGUGAAAUUCUCGGGCUUGAGGCUGGGAAUGGCAUGUGAGACUGGUAAGCGAGAGUCUUGUAGAGGGGGGUAGAAUUGGAUGUGUAGUGGUGAAAGGCGUAGAGAUGUGGAGGAAUACCGGUGGUGAAGGAGGCUGUCUGGACAAAGAGUGAUGGUCAGGUGCGAAAGCGUGGUGAGCAAACAGGAUUAGAUACCAUGGUAGUUCAUGCAGUAAUCGAUGUAGAUUUGAAGGUUGUUUGGAUGAGGAGUGGCUUCUGGAGGUAACGAGUUAAAUAGUCUGCGUGGGGAGUACGGGCGCAAGGUUAAAACUCAAAUGAAUUGACGGGGGACCGCACAAGCGGUGGAGCAUGUGGUGUAAUUCGAUGCAACGCGAAGAACCUUAGCUGGUCUUGAGAUGCAGAGAAGUUAGCAGAGAUGGUUUAGUGCGUUGGGGAACUGUGAGACAGGUGAUGCAUGGCUGUAGUCAGCUCGUGUUGUGAAAUGUUGGGUUAAGUCCCGGAACGAGCGCAACCCUUAUGGUUUGUUGCCAGCGGUUCGGUCGGGAACUCAAAGGAGACUGCCGGUGAUAAACCGGAGGAAGGUGGGGAUGACGUCAAGUCAUCAUGGCCCUUACGAGUAGGGCUACACACGUGCUACAAUGGCGUAUAGAAAGAGAAGCGACCUCGCGAGAGCAAGCGGAACUCAUAAAGUACGUCGUAGUCCGGAUUGGAGUCUGCAACUCGAGUUCAUGAAGUCGGAAUCGGUAGUAAUCGUAGAUCAGAAUGGUACGGUGAAUACGUUGGCGGGCCUUGUACACACCGCCCGUCACACCAUGGGAGUGGGUUGCAAAAGAAGUA